Long non-coding RNA from Homo sapiens (human), 1019 nucleotides. RefSeq lists it as uncharacterized. Lineage: Eukaryota; Metazoa; Chordata; Mammalia; Primates; Hominidae. The record is from RefSeq and is marked validated. The transcript has 4 exons.
CUUUUUUCAUUUUUUUCUUCACUUUUCUCCAGCCUUCCUCUCUCUCUCUCCUUCCUUCCUCCUUGCUUUCUUUAUAUGCCUUAUCUUCUGAGAAGGUUGACCCCAGUUCCGGCGAUAGACGGACACUAAGCCCCCCUUGAGUGACUAGAAAGGCAGGGGACAUAGGAACAGUUAGGACAUAAGGGAAGAGUAAAGAGAGGGACCCCUGAUUUUGAUUUCAGGGUGCCCUGUUUGUCUCAUCCAAUAUCCUGAAGACCCAAGAUGGAGACCAGCUACUUGUCCCUUCCAAAAAGCUUCCCUGGCCUUAAUGUCAGUGCUUGUAGGUGAUCUCAGAAACCUCCCUGGUGAAGAAAACCUGAAGACGGGGUCUUGCUCUGUUGCCUGGCUGGAGUGCAGUGGUGCUAACAUGACUCACUGCACCCUUGACCUCCUGGACUCAAGUGAUCCUCCCACCUCAGCCUCCCAAGUAGCUGGGACUCCAAGUGGGUGCCACUACAGCCAAACCUUCAGACCUGUAGAUGGGCUCUUCUUGGACAUUCUGGAGUCCCUGGGGGAAAGGGAAGUCUGAAGCUCAGUUGGCCACCUCUGCAUAACAAAUACCGAGAGCACUGCAAGUGGAGCUUGGACAAGGUCUGGAAAAUCAGCCUUCUUCUGGAUGCCUCCAGCCUUUGCUAUCAUCUGCCUAGGAGGUUGGAAGUUACUCAAGCGGCUCAAGGAAAAGUCCCUAUUUCUGUUGCAGUUGAUUUGGAGUUAUGUGAUGUGUAGCCCAUCAGAAGUAAGCAGAAAACUUUGUGCCGUUUUCUAUCCUGGAAAUAACACCCCCGCCCCCUGGCCCCGCUGCAUUAUCAGCCACUCCUCUUCACUCCUUUCUAUGGCUCCAGAAGUGAAGAGCUCUGAAAUGCCUAAAUUGCCAGAUGGGAACAUCUUUACUGCUUGGAGAAAGCCACACAGGAGUUACCUGACCUGCCUUGGAUGGUGACAUGAGUGAGAAAUAAACCUUUGUUGGGUUAGACUGCUAA